Molecule: ribosomal RNA, 253 nt
Filed under: uncultured bacterium
Lineage: Bacteria
Description: partial 16S ribosomal RNA
Rfam family: Bacterial small subunit ribosomal RNA
Source: RNAcentral
GACGAACCGAGCGAACGUUAUUCGGAAUCACUGGGCUUAAAGGGCGCGUAGGCGGGCCGUCAAGUCAGGGGUGAAAGCCCCCAGCUCAACUGGGGAAGUGCCUCUGAUACUGGCGGCCUCGAGGGAGGUAGGGGCGUGCGGAACUUCCGGUGGAGCGGUGAAAUGCGUAGAUAUCGGAAGGAACACCAGUGGCGAAAGCGGCUUCCUGGUCCAGCACCGACGUUCAGGCACGAAAGCGUGGGGAGCAAACAGG